This 589-nucleotide long non-coding RNA is filed under the name Carica papaya (papaya). RNAcentral's name for it is "long non-coding RNA (CPAP_LNC013895)". Lineage: Eukaryota; Viridiplantae; Streptophyta; Magnoliopsida; Brassicales; Caricaceae. The record is from RNAcentral.
CUGGUUCCUCGGGCACUCUCUGGCAUAAUGUUGGGCACUGCCACAAAUGUGACAAGUGUUGUUGAGGCGGUAGCAGGGUUGGUCCCCGUGAUCUCUGCCACAGUGUUGACAGAUCUUCCCACGUGCUGCCCCUGGAGCCUGAGGAGGGGCCUGGAUGGCUGGUCUGGGCCUCUUGUUUGGUUGGGCAGGCGCCGUGGGUACUGGCCUGCGGAACGGAGCUAAGGGUCGGGAACUCCCUCCUGGCUGAGGACGGUUGCUGAAGCUUCUUUCCACGAUCUGCGCCUUUGCUAGGACUGCUGAAUAGGUCUUGAGCUCCAAUACUACCAAGUGUUGCCUGAUCUCUGGGCGGAGACCUGAUUGGAAUCUCCUGGUCUUUCAGCCCUCAUCCAUCAAUGUCUCCGGGGAGUAUCGGCCCAGCUCUAGGAACUUACGAGCAUAUUCUGAUACUGUCAUGUUUCCCUGAACCAGUUGAACAAACUCCGUUUCUUUUAGGUGUCGGAUGUGCUCAGGGAGAUACUCUGCAUGGAAGGCCGCUAGGAACUACUCCCAAGUGACUGGUGUAGGCAAGGUGGCUUGCUUGAGCUCCCAC